RNAcentral lists this ribosomal RNA (468 nucleotides) under uncultured bacterium. RNAcentral describes it as "partial 16S ribosomal RNA". It matches the Rfam family "Bacterial small subunit ribosomal RNA", at positions 28 to 507 of the family's 1533-position model. The record is from RNAcentral.
GACGAACGCUGGCGGCGUGCUUAACACAUGCAAGUCGAACGGAAAGGCCCUGCUUUUGUGGGGUGCUCGAGUGGCGAACGGGUGAGUAACACGUGAGUAACCUGCCCUGGACUUUGGGAUAACUUCAGGAAACUGGGGCUAAUACCGGAUAGGAGCUCCUGCUGCAUGGUGGGGGUUGGAAAGUUUCGGCGGUUGGGGAUGGACUCGCGGCUUAUCAGCUUGUUGGUGGGGUAGUGGCUUACCAAGGCUUUGACGGGUAGCCGGCCUGAGAGGGUGACCGGCCACAGUGGGACUGAGAUACGGGCCAGACUACUACGGGAGGCAGCAGUGGGGAAUAUUGCACAAUGGGCGGAAGCCUGAUGCAGCAACGCCGCGUGCGGGAUGACGGCAUUCGGGUUGUAAACCGCUUUCGCCUGUGACGAAGCGUGAGUGACGGUAAUGGGUAAAGAAGCACCGGCUAACUACGUG